UACGUAGGGUGCAAGCGUUAAUCGGAAUUACUGGGCGUAAAGCGUGCGCAGGCGGUUAUGUAAGACAGAUGUGAAAUCCCCGGGCUCAACCUGGGAACUGCAUUUGUGACUGCAUAGCUGGAGUACGGUAGAGGGGGAUGGAAUUCCGCGUGUAGCAGUGAAAUGCGUAGAUAUGCGGAGGAACACCGAUGGCGAAGGCAAUCCCCCUGGACCUGUACUGA
RNAcentral lists this ribosomal RNA (221 nucleotides) under uncultured bacterium. Its description in RNAcentral is "partial 16S ribosomal RNA". It matches the Rfam family "Bacterial small subunit ribosomal RNA", at positions 524 to 743 of the family's 1533-position model. The record is from RNAcentral.